GAAUUCAAGAGAGUUGAUGCUGGCGGUCUUGUGGCUGCAUGUGCUCGCUCUCCUAAUCCAAUUUACACCUGUGCACUUAACUUUGAAGGGAGGGUAAAACCUGCCUUCGAAAUCUUUAAACUCUUAUAUAACGAAUGUUUAUCUGCCGCAAGGCAAAAUUUAAUACAACUUUUAACAACGGAUCUCUUGGCUCUCGCAUCGAUGAAGAACGCAGCGAAAUGCGAUAAGUAAUGUGAAUUGCAGAAUUCAGUGAAUCAUCGAAUCUUUGAACGCACCUUGCGCUCCCUGGUAUUCCGGGGAGCACGCCUGUUCGAGUGUCAUGAAACUCUCAAGCAAGAUAGAUU
This 344-nucleotide unclassified non-coding RNA is filed under the name uncultured Sistotrema. RNAcentral describes it as "partial contains 18S rRNA, ITS1, 5.8S rRNA, ITS2 and 28S rRNA". The stretch from base 167 to 320 matches the Rfam family "5.8S ribosomal RNA". Lineage: Eukaryota; Fungi; Basidiomycota; Agaricomycetes; Corticiales; Corticiaceae. The record is from RNAcentral.